Molecule: transfer RNA, 77 nt
Filed under: Clostridia bacterium
Lineage: Bacteria; Bacillati; Bacillota; Clostridia
Description: tRNA-His
Rfam family: tRNA
About the family: Transfer RNA (tRNA) molecules are approximately 80 nucleotides in length. Their secondary structure includes four short double-helical elements and three loops (D, anti-codon, and T loops).
Source: RNAcentral
GUGGGUAUAGUUCAGUUGGUUAGAGCGCCAGAUUGUGAUUCUGGAGGUCGUCGGUUCGAAUCCGACUACCCACCCCA